UUCCUGUCCCUGGUUUUCCGCGAAUGCUGCCCCCUUACCCUGGCUUCAUUUUUCAAGAUUCAAGUCCAGCGUCAUUUCCUGGAAAAGACUCCUCUCUGCAGCUGCUGAGUCACGGUGGGGCCGAGUGGAGGGAGAUGCUGUAUUUGAAACUGGAGGGGAAAUUCUCCGGAGCUCCCUGGAGGGGGUGAGGUGAAGGGCAGCUCGAGCAGGGCCUGCUGACGGUGCAGAGAAUGAUCGAGAAGCCGCCCUCCUGAGCGCGGAGGCCUGGAGCUUCCUUCUGCGUGGCAGGAGGGCGCUGGCCUGUGGUCCCUCUCAGUGGGGGCGGGAGGAACUGAUCUCUCAGCAUGAAAUGGUCGCCUGGCCUCUGGGAAGGCUCCCAGCAGUCGACGCCCAGGCCAGGCCUGGCCGGCUGCUCCUCCAGCUGCUGCUCCCAGCCGGAGCCAUUUUCCGACCCCAAAGACUUGUCAGCAGGACUAGAAAUGCUUGGACCCUCAAAUGUAACCCCGAAUAUCAGCAGCAGACCCCCCCACCCCUGGGGGAAAAGUCUCCAAUCAGAGAUCCUCUGAGGCGAGCCAAGAGCGGUUUUGGAGGGAGCAGCGCAUAUUUUGAGGGAAGAAGCCCCAUGAGAGCCUCCCUGCAAGAAGCCAGAACAUUAUCACCAACCCCUCUCCUCUGUCCCCUCAAAGGCCUCUCCUGACCACAGUCCUCAACUGUGUACUUCUGAGACAGACUGGGACCUGCGAAGAAAAGGCCAAAACCCAACUGCCACUCUUGAGGUGCAGGAGCAAAAGCAGGGGACUGAGCUUGCACCACAGCACCAUCAAGCGGAUGAGCAGACCACCUAAGCCAGCCCUGAAGCCCGAACCACCGAUGGGCCCCUAUGCUCACCCCAUUUAAGAGACUGGCCCAAAUCAACCCCCCACCCCCUGCCACCCC
Long non-coding RNA from Bos taurus (domestic cattle), 936 nucleotides. The record is from Ensembl. Lineage: Eukaryota; Metazoa; Chordata; Mammalia; Artiodactyla; Bovidae.